CUCAGGAGGCUAAGGCAGGAGAAUCACUUGAAGCUGGGAGGCGGAGGUUGCAGUGAGCUGAGAUCACUGCAUUGCAGCCUGCCCAACAGAGCGAGACUCCAUCUCAAAAAAAAAAAAAAAAAUAGACACUGGGGACUCCAAAUUGGGGGAGGGAGAGAGAGGUGAGGGUUAAAAAAUUACCUAUUGGUGCGGGGAGGAGCCAAGAUGGCCGAAUAUGAACAGCUCCUGUCUACAGCUCCCAGCGUGAGCAACGAAGAAGACGGGUGAUUUCAGCAUUUCCAUCUGAGUUAAAAUCCUGGAUAUGGAGUCCGAGAUAUGGAAGGCCAAUUGGCUGCCAAAGAAAUGGGAGAGACAACACGUGCGGUGGCUUCAAAGGAGGAGGGAGAGUUGAGUUUAAACUAAUGAAGUAAAGGCAGGGAUGGGAGACUGAAAGGAAGGAAGACGCUGACACUUCUUCAGUGUGAUUGUAUGCCAUACACUGUGCUGGGUGCUGUUAAUACAACAACGCUUCUGGCUAUGUACUGUUUAACCCCAUUAGAAAUAAAGCAACAGGAGUUCAGAGAAUUUAAGUAACUCGAUUUAGGUCACUCAGCAAUUAGCCAGGCCAGACAUAUACCCAGGCUGAAGGAUGGCCAAGCUCAUUAAGUCAGGCAGCUAGAAUUGAGACCAGUGGUGAAAUAGAAUGAGAGCAUUGAUAUGAACGUGGUUUAUACACUUUUAAGGGCUACGAAGAUCAUUCCAGAGGAAUGAAGGAACAAGGAGAGAAUUGUGUCAACAAAGACUGGCACAUGGCAGGAUUCCACUCACUUUCCACAAACUUUGAAGGAAGAAGUAGCUAAUUGAAUCUGAAGUUUCAUUCACUAGAAACUAAUAGAGAAUUUACAAUAAUUUAUCCUGGAUGGAAAGUAAGAUCCAUCAUGUACAUGUUAGACAAGAGAAGCAUUUGAUCCCUUAUCUUCCUAGUUAACAUUCAUCUUGAACACUGAUUAUGUGAUAGUCUUCCUAAAACAAAUAGCAAGGGGGAUGGGGUUGGGGAGCACACAGAUAACAAAAAAGUUUUGAUGAGCUUUAUGGAGACAGGAGAUAAUUUGUUGAUAUAAAAAUACACCUGUAAUCCCAGCACUUGGGGAGGCUGAGGCGGGCGGAUCACUUGAGGUCAGGAGUUUGAGACCAGCCUGGCCAACAUGGUAAAACCCUGUCUCUACUAAAAAUACAAAAAUUAGCUUGGCGUGGUAGUGUGUGCUUGUAGUCCCAGCUACUCGUGAGGCUGAAGCAGGUAAAUCGCUUGAACCAGUGAGGCAGAGGUUGCAGUGAGCUGAGAUCACACCACUGCACUCCAGCCUGGGCGACAGAGCGAGACUCUGUCUCAAAAAAAAAAAAAAAAGAGACGCUUUUGCAUGUACUUCCUUUCCACCACCAUCUGUCACCUAGGAAAACCUCUACAAUCACAAAGCUUAUCUGAAAAUCUGACUAUAUUCAGGCAAGAUUCAAACCAAGAGAAGUCAAACCUAGAGACACGCGGUUAUGAACUAUAAACUGUUCAUAAGGCCCUGGGGUUUUUCGGACCACUUGUGCCCUAACCAGCCUGUGGGCUCCCAUGUUCAUUAUCCUCCCAAGUGUUAAGGCACAAGGUAUCAGGCAUCAGGCAGUUUUUGUAUUAGGAAGACUAUCACAUAAUCAGUGUUAAAGAUCAAUGUUAACUAGGAAGAUAAGGGAUCAAAUGCUUCUCUUGUUUAACAUAUACACGAUGGAUCUUACUUUCCAUCCAGGAGAAGUUAUUGUAAAUUCUCUAUAUUAGUUUCUAGUGAAUGAAACUUCAGAUUCAAUUAGCUACUUCUUCCUUCGAAGUUUGUGGAAAGUGAGUGGAAUCCUGCCAUGUGCCAGACUUUGUUGACACAAUUCUCUCUUUGUUCCUGCAUUCCUUUGGAAUAAUCUUCAUAGUCCUUAAAAGUUUGUAAACCAUGUUCAUAUCAAUGCUCUCAUUCUAUUUCACCACUGAUCUCAAUUCAGGCAGUUUUUGUUGCACAAAACCUCAGAAACUAAAACAACGAACAUUAUUUGGCACAUGUCUGCAGAGCCCAGCACUGCUCUACAGUGGGCUUGACUGGACAGCUCUGCUGAUCUCGGCUGGGAGCACUGAGGCAUCUGGGGCUUGGCUAUCGCUUGGCCAGUCUAGGCCAGCCUUGGCUGCAGUGACUCAGCUCUGCUCCGGGUGUCUCUCACCCACCUCUGGAAUCAGCGGGCUACCUCAGUCAUGUCAUUCUCACGACGAUGGAAGCAGUGCAAGAGGAAAAGUGAAACAUGCAGGAGCUCUUGAGGCCUAGUCUCCAGACUGGCACACCAUCUUGUCUGCCUUAUUCCACUGACCAACAUAAACCACCAACUUGAGCCCAGAGUCUGGGUAUGAAAGAGCUGCACAGAUGCAUGGCAAUGGACAUGAAUAUAGUGAGGGUGAAGAUGGGGACCGUUACCGGCUCCAGUCACACCUAGUCUGCAAAAGACUUGGCUCACUGGUUGGGCCCAAGAGGUUCCCUGAGGACAAUGACUGUAUCUAUUUAUGUUAUUUCAUCUUUUCAAUCACUUUGCAAAACAAUAUCAUGACUCCAACUUAUAAAAGAGGAUAUCAAGUUUCCAAAACAUGAAGAAAUAAACUACUUAAAAUCAUCUGUCCCUUCACAUUGGAUAGCCCUUGAAAUUGAACUCCAGCACCAUUAUCAGUUGCUAAAGUUCCCGAACCAUUCCAGGGAGGGACCUUCUUAAUGGUCCAAAUCUCAGCCAGGCAUUAUUCUUGUGAUUUCAGGGAGUGCGCGGCUCUGGGCUGAGGCCAUUGAGACUUGUAUUUGAUGGAGAACCAGGCUUUAAGGAGAAGGAAACAGUAUUUUGAAUACAAGGCGCUGCUCUUAUCUUCUAUCAAUAGAUAAAGUUUUGGGAUAUGCACCUUCCACUAAGGCUCACAAAAGGAUUGGCAGCAUUUUGAAAGGGCAAAACAAGUUUUUCUUUCUUUUCCCUCUCUUUUAGGGUGAAGUAGUUGCAUUGAUGGCCACUCUUGGCUUCCUACAGUGAAGUCACCUCAGACUUUGGGGGUUUUUCUACAGAGGUGGAGUCCAGGGCCUUCCUCCACACAUACUGUGCUUCUGCCUACAAUCCACAUCAUACUCUACCCUGUGUGCAUAUCACAUACUGAAGGAACCAAGCUUCAGUUCAGUUUGUUUCCAGCACCUUCAUCUGCUAAUGCCAUGUUAGGCAUGGGAGAUACUAAGAUGAACCAUAAAUGGUCCUUGCCUUUAAAGAGAUUACAGGGUAGUGGGAACAUCAGGAAAAAACAGAAAGGAAAAGAGAAAUGCGAUUGGGUGGCAUAGACUGAAUAGCCAAGGCAGCAUGUAAGAGGCAGUAAGAUCCUCUGGAAUGAUGACUUCGAAGCUAGGAGUUGAAGUACAAGUGGAAAUUUACCAGACGGAAUCUGGAAGAGAGACUUCCAAAGAAAGAGAAGAUGCUGACUCAGUCUUGGCUAUUAAAAUGUCCAUAUUCCAAAAGCAUGAGUAUUGAAUUCAGAUGGCUGUCUAGAAUCCUCCAACAUACUGGACUCAUCCAGGACUCUCUGAGCCUUAGUUGCUUCAUCUGUGAAAUGGGAAUAAUCUUAGGUACCUGACAGCAGUGUGCUGACAACUAAAUGAAAUACAGUUUGUGAAAACAUUUUAUAGGCUAUAAAGUGUAACCUCUGCAG
This 3724-nucleotide long non-coding RNA is filed under the name Homo sapiens (human). RNAcentral's name for it is "HSALNT0038571". The record is from RNAcentral. Lineage: Eukaryota; Metazoa; Chordata; Mammalia; Primates; Hominidae.